This 427-nucleotide ribosomal RNA is filed under the name uncultured eukaryote. Its description in RNAcentral is "SSU rRNA". It matches the Rfam family "Eukaryotic small subunit ribosomal RNA", at positions 567 to 990 of the family's 1831-position model. The record is from RNAcentral.
CCAGCAGCCGCGGUAAUUCCAGCUCCAGUAGCGUAUAUUAAAGUUGUUGCAGUUAAAAAGCUCGUAGUUGGAUUUCUGGUGUUACAGGACUGGCCUGCCGGCUCAGCCGGUGCGCGCCGGGACUCGUAUACCAUCCUUCUAGAGAUCGUUUUCAUCCCUUCACUGGGAUGAUCACGUGAUCUAGAUCUUUUACUUUGAAGAAAUUAGAGUGUUCAAAGCAGGCUCGCGCUGUGAAUACAUUAGCAUGGAAUAAUAAUUUAGGACUUGGUAUCCUAUUUUGUUGGUUUUCAGGAUCUAAGUAAUGAUUGAUAGGGAUAGUUGGGGGUGCUAGUAUUCAGCGGCCAGAGGUGAAAUUCUAUGAUUCGCUGAAGACUAACUUAUGCGAAAGCAUUCACCAAGGAUGUCUUCUUUAAUCAAGAACGAAAGU